GGCAACUUAUGCCCAGUUUUGCUCUAACUGUUCCGAGAAUUGGUAGCGAGGAAUGUUGAUAAGGCUAGCGGAACUUUAGUCCAUUCUACGACGGCCAGCGUGGUACGGCUAUCGGUACUGAAGGUACUGAACGUACUGAAUGUGUAGGAGUAGAGGAGUUCAGUAAGUUCAGUACGCAGGCGGCAUGUACGUAAGUGUACGGGUAGCAGUGUGUGUAGUGUAGUUGAUGUGUGUAAUAAAUUUUAACAUGGAUGGAAAAAAGAAAAGAAAAAUUGACGAUGAAUACCAUGCGUUUAAUGAAGAAUGGGGGCAAAAUAUUUUUUCAUACAAUCGAAUUCAAAGGAUAAAGCUGUAUGUCUGAUAUGUAAAGAUACUAUUGCUGUGUUGAAAGAAUACAAUAUACGUCGUCACUAUGACACGAAGCAUGCUUCAACGUUUUCACAAUUUAAAGAAAAGCAGCGUUCAGAUAAAUUUGAAUCAUUUCGUUGUUGUUUGCAUUCUCAGCAAGACUUAUUUACGAAAGCAACAUCAGAAAAUGAAGCCUUAACCUUGGUAAGCUAUAAGGUUGCUUAUGUGUUGGCUAAAAAUGGAAAACCAUUCACUGAUGGUAAUAUCAUCAAAGAGUGUAUGCUGGAAGCAGUGACUGAGUUGCGCCCCGAAAAACUUAAUCUUUUUAAAAUGAUAAGUCUUGCACCAAAUACUGUUGCUCGUUGGAUUGAAAAUAUGGGAAAUAAUAUUGUCCAGCAAA
Long non-coding RNA from Cryptotermes secundus, 748 nucleotides. RefSeq lists it as uncharacterized. The transcript has 2 exons. NCBI's taxonomy places the organism in Eukaryota, Metazoa, Arthropoda, Insecta, Blattodea, Kalotermitidae. The record is from RefSeq and is a predicted model, not a curated record.